AAGAACGGAAUCACGCUGGACGCGGAGA
RNAcentral lists this small RNA (28 nucleotides) under Bombyx mori (domestic silkworm). Its description in RNAcentral is "ovarian small RNA-10482". Lineage: Eukaryota; Metazoa; Arthropoda; Insecta; Lepidoptera; Bombycidae. The record is from RNAcentral.